RNAcentral lists this long non-coding RNA (2777 nucleotides) under Capra hircus (goat). RNAcentral's name for it is "lncRNA (ENSCHIG00010025922.1)". Lineage: Eukaryota; Metazoa; Chordata; Mammalia; Artiodactyla; Bovidae. The record is from RNAcentral.
UCGUUGAGCAUUUACUACAUGCUACAGAUUGCAGACAGCGUCUUAUCCCUGAACUCUCUGUGCUGACCCUGUAAACGAAGCAUGACAAGAGCUCCUCACAUGAACCAAGUGCUAUUAUCUCCAUUUUGCAGACGAGGAAACUUUUUUCUUGCGUUUUCUUACAGAUCAGAAGUGGGGCUGGCAGUUCUGGGGCCCUCUGGGCAGCAUCUCUGUGGGGGUGAGUCUUCCGACCGCCUUGCUAGAGUCCCAUGGCUAUUCUAAAUCUGCAGUGUGCAAGGGAAAAAGAAGGAAGAAGAGAAGGAAAAGGAGGAAGAGGAGAACAAGAAAGCAUCCAGAGAGAAAGGGAUGAAGGAGGUGGUGGAUGUGGUGGAGUCCGGAGCCAUCCAACUGCCUCUUGCCUGGAGAGUAGGACACAGGACCACCGGGAAAGAGCCACAGGAGGAGGACUCAUGUGUGCUCCCUUCCACGUCUGCAGCUCAUGGUGCUUCUUUUAAAGCUGUCAGCGAGAUCUGUCCUGGUUUUCCUUCACGAAGCUGCCCGGUGCUGGUCUCCAUCUGUAACGCCUUUAACAGAAGUUCAAGGUCUCCCCAGCUUCAAGCUCAAAGCCCCCACCUUCUUCUUGAGCUUUGGUGUUUGUCUCCCUUGGCUUAUGAGGCCACCAAAAUCUCAGCUCAGUUUGGCAGAUGUUUACUGCGCAUUCACAGGUGUCCUCAGAAUAACAAUGGCUCUGAGUAGCGGUUAUCUUUUUCUCCUACCUUUUGCCUAGUAAUUCCUUGCCACUUUGAUAACUCUAGUUUUAAUACUAUUUAAACUUUGUCCGGGCAUUUUAGUUGACUGUGGGAACUUUGGUCCAGAUGUCCUGGUCUGACACCAAAAGCGGGAGUCCUUCUUCUCUGACCUCUUUCCUGAGUCAAUUCCUCCUUCAGAUCUCCAUGCAGGUAUCAUUUUUCAGAGAAGCCUUUCACAGACCCCGUGGGAAAUAGUCAUCCCCAUCCCUGAACUCUCUGCUUGAUUUUUCUUCAUAGAACAUAUUAUCACCUGACAUUGGUCACAUAUGUAUCUGCUUACUUGUUUACUGCCUCUCUCUGACUGGAAUUUAUUUACUCAUUCAUUCAACAAAUAUUUAUUGCGUACAUUCUUUGUGGCAGGCAUUACGCUAGGUGUUGAAGCAUACGCUAGAGAACAAGGCAGACCAGAUUCCAGCCCACGGGGAGCUUACAUUCUCAGGAGAAAACAGACCAUGAACGGAAAAAUCAAAGCAAUAUAAAUUCCCCUGAGGAUAAAUGUAAAUUCCCCUGCUUUCUCUAACACUUCAGGGCAUAGAACAGUGCUUUAUGUUAACUGAAUAUGUGCUACAUUAAAAAAAAAAAAAAUCCUUGUCCCAAAGUUAUUUUUAAGUAUUAUUUAAUCCCUGGUGUUUCAAUUGUAUUGUUGGUUGGCUGCUUUUUUCCUCAUAAAUAUGUAGCAUUUGAAGCGCAUAAAGGGUUAAAUAGACUUGUGUGUCAGCCUGGAAAUAUAAUCACCAUUUAUUAUUUCACUCUUACAGGGAAAUAUGUUCUGAGUUUCAAAUAAUUAACUUCCAAGUGAACUUUUGGAAACUGUCAGCUGGGCUCAUAUAUAUUUGGGUGAGAUUUGCCAAUGUCUUUGCACUCUUUUAUAGAAACAGGCUACAUGCCAGACAGAUCAGGCCAAACAGCCUGGGUGAUCAGUGGAAUAACAGAUGUCUCAGAAAGAGCACCCCCACAUCCAGAAGGCUCUGUUCUGCUCUAAGCUCAUGGUCCGUCUCAUUCUUCGAAUCUUAGGUCUCUGGUGACACACCUUUCCCUGUAGGAGACAGAGGCUCUAUGAUCAAACUAACAUUGUUUUUUACACCAGAGAGGCCAAGCCAAAUUCUUUAGAGUCUUCUACCUGGGCAACAGCACGCUUGAAAGUGGCAGCCAGCCCUGGCAGCAAGCCUGGCUGCCCUGGGACACUGAGAGAGUGAGAGAGAGAUUGGGGUCAGACAAUCUAGCUCAGAGGAAUCGCUCCAACAUGAGUGCCAUGGCAUUCAGCCUGAGCUCAGAAUCUUUGCCUGCCCACAGGCGCUGGGUUAUUUCCAUUCUUUACCAAAGGGACGGAAUGCAGAGAGAGAAAAGCACAGGCGGUGAGCCAGAUCUGAGUGUAAAAGGCCCAUCUAAGGCUGUUGUUGGGUUAAAAAAACAAUUAGGAUUUGCUGAGACUUUUGGAAAGGAGGAAUGGAGAGCAAUGAAAUGCUCAAGGCUUGGGGUGAGAAGGAUGCGGUGGGCGCUCUUGAAAUGAUCAGGAUUAGGUUUAGAACAUGGGAUUUUCUGAGGGCUCAAAGGGUAAAGAACCCACCUGCAAUGCUGGAGACACAGGAGAAACAGGUUCGAUCCCUGUUUGGGAAGAUCCCCUGAAGAAGGAGAUGGCAACAUUCUUGCCUGAAAAACUCCAUAGACAGAGAAGCUUGGGAGUCUACAGUCUAAAGGGUCACAAAAAGUCAGACAUGACUGAGCAACUAAGCACACACAUGCAGGUUUUAGAAUAGAAUAAUGGUAGAAAUGACAAGCUCUUCUAAUUUUUUUGAGCUAGGUGUCAUGCUAUUGUAGUGGAGAGUCCUCCCAACCAAAAUCAGAAAUGGACUUAGAGGAGAUGGCAUCAUGAAUUUGUGAAAAUUCAUCAUAAAAUUUUGAGCUGGAAGAGCCCUUAAAACUCAUCUAGUCCAGUUUCACAGCAAUACUUGGAGAUGGAAUUGCCUGGUUGAGGCUGGAGAAUCUGUG